UACGUAGGGUGCAAGCGUUAAUCGGAAUUACUGGGCGUAAAGCGUGCGCAGGCGGUUAUGUAAGACAGAUGUGAAAUGCCCGGGCUUAACCUGGGAACUGCAUUUGUGACUGCAUGGCUAGAGUUUGGCAGAGGGGGGUGGAAUUCCGCGUGUAGCAGUGAAAUGCGUAGAGAUGCGGAGGAACACCGAUGGCGAAGGCAGCCCCCUGGGCUAACACUGACGCUCAGGCACGAAAGCGUGGGGAGCAAACAGGG
This 254-nucleotide ribosomal RNA is filed under the name uncultured bacterium. RNAcentral describes it as "partial 16S ribosomal RNA". It matches the Rfam family "Bacterial small subunit ribosomal RNA", at positions 524 to 777 of the family's 1533-position model. The record is from RNAcentral.